RNAcentral lists this ribosomal RNA (413 nucleotides) under bacterium enrichment culture clone ALO1_GLFRUDD03FMK27. RNAcentral describes it as "bacterial SSU rRNA". It matches the Rfam family "Bacterial small subunit ribosomal RNA", at positions 9 to 422 of the family's 1533-position model. The record is from RNAcentral. RNAcentral also lists the same sequence under 1 other name.
GAGUUUGAUCCUGGCUCAGAUUGAACGCUGGCGGCAUGCCUUACACAUGCAAGUCGAACGGCAGCACGGGAGCUUGCUCCUGGUGGCGAGUGGCGAACGGGUGAGUAAUGCAUCGGAACGUAUCCUGGAGUGGGGGAUAACGUAGCGAAAGUUACGCUAAUACCGCAUAUUCUGUGAGCAGGAAAGCGGGGGACCUUCGGGCCUCGCGCUCUUGGAGCGGCCGAUGUCGGAUUAGCUAGUUGGUGAGGUAAAGGCUCACCAAGGCGACGAUCCGUAGCAGGUCUGAGAGGAUGAUCUGCCACACUGGAACUGAGACACGGUCCAGACUCCUACGGGAGGCAGCAGUGGGGAAUUUUGGACAAUGGGGGCAACCCUGAUCCAGCCAUGCCGCGUGAGUGAAGAAGGCCUCGGUG